AAGACCUUGCGCUUUUGGAGCGGCCGAUGUCUGAUUAGCUAGUUGGUGGGGUAAUGGCCUACCAAAGCUUCGAUCAGUAGCUGGUCUGAGAGGACGGCCAGCCACACUGGGACUGAGACACGGCCCAGACUCCUACGGGAGGCAGCAGUGGGGAAUUUUGGACAAUGGGCGCAAGCCUGAUCCAGCCAUGCCGCGUGAGUGAAGAAGGCCUUCGGGUUGUAAAGCUCUUUCAGUCGGGAAGAAAAGGUUGCGACUAAUAAUCGCAAUUCAUGACGGUACCGAAAGAAGAAGCACCGGCUAACUACGUGCCAGCAGCCGCGGUAAUACGUAGGGUGCGAGCGUUAAUCGGAAUUACUGGGCGUAAAGGGUGCGCAGGCGGUUUUGUAAGUCAGAUGUGAAAUCCCCGGGCUUAACCUGGGAACU
Molecule: ribosomal RNA, 423 nt
Filed under: uncultured bacterium
Lineage: Bacteria
Description: bacterial SSU rRNA
Rfam family: Bacterial small subunit ribosomal RNA
Source: RNAcentral